AAUCAGUUACUAAUUAAAACUUUUACUGAACAGAACAAGUAAAAAAUCAAGAAAAAUGAAAUUUUUAUCAAUUCUCGCAAUUGUCCUCCUCGGGACACUUUUUGUGCUCUUUAAGGAGACAUCAGCCUUGGAAGCUGAACCUGAAGCUCCAUCCGAUUUCGAACCCGCUGUACUUCCGGAAAACGAGCAUCAUUUGAACAAACGCCAGAUCCCGAUUUUCCCUUGCAAUCCCACGGGCUGCAUGAGACAAUGCAUGCGGAAAGGCAAAGGCGGCUUUUGUCGCAAUAAUCAAUGUUAUUGUACUAGAUAAACUUGUUUUUAGCUGAAAUUUGUUGAAAAAGUCAAUAAAAUGAAUUCUUGAGUAUUAA
Culicoides brevitarsis is the source of this 368-nucleotide long non-coding RNA. RefSeq lists it as uncharacterized. The transcript has 2 exons. Lineage: Eukaryota; Metazoa; Arthropoda; Insecta; Diptera; Ceratopogonidae. The record is from RefSeq and is a predicted model, not a curated record.